GCGAUGGUGGUAUAGUGGUUAGCAUAGUUGCCUUCCAAGCAGUUGACCCGAGUACGAUUCUCGGCUAUCGCA
Molecule: non-coding RNA, 72 nt
Organism: Daphnia pulex (common water flea)
Lineage: Eukaryota; Metazoa; Arthropoda; Branchiopoda; Diplostraca; Daphniidae
Source: Rfam